RNAcentral lists this unclassified non-coding RNA (348 nucleotides) under soil metagenome. Its description in RNAcentral is "partial contains 5.8S ribosomal RNA, internal transcribed spacer 2, and large subunit ribosomal RNA". The stretch from base 1 to 120 matches the Rfam family "5.8S ribosomal RNA", at positions 35 to 154 of the family's 154-position model. The record is from RNAcentral.
GAUGAAGAACGUAGCGAAAUGCGAUAAGUAAUGUGAAUUGCAGAAUUCAGUGAAUCAUCGAAUCUUUGAACGCACAUUGCGCCCGCCAGUAUUCUGGCGGGCAUGCCUGUCUGAGCGUCAUUUCAACCCUCAUGCCCCUAGGGCGUGGUGUUGGGGAUCGGCCAAAGCCCGCGAGGGACGGCCGGCCCCUAAAUCUAGUGGCGGACCCGUCGUGGCCUCCUCUGCGAAGUAGUGAUAUUCCGCAUCGGAGAGCGAUGAGCCCCUGCCGUUAAACCCCCAACUUUCCAAGGUUGACCUCAGAUCAGGUAGGAAUACCCGCUGAACUUAAGCAUAUCAUUAAGCGGAGGA